UGAGAGUUUGAUCCUGGCUCAGGAUGAACGCUGGCGGUCUGCUUAACACAUGCAAGUCGAACGCAACCUUCGGGUUGAGUGGCGGACGGGUGAGUAACGCGUGAGAAUCUGCCUUGGGGUCGGGGACAACCACUGGAAACGGUGGCUAAUACCGGAUACGCCUUCGGGUAAAAGAUUUAUUGCCCUAAGAGGAGCUCGCGUCUGAUUAGCUAGUUGGUGAGGUAAGAGCUCACCAAGGCAGCGAUCAGUAGCUGGUCUGAGAGGACGAUCAGCCACACUGGGACUGAGACACGGCCCAGACUCCUACGGGAGGCAGCAGUGGGGAAUUUUCCGCAAUGGGCGAAAGCCUGACGGAGCAAGACCGCGUGAGGGAGGAAGGCUCUUGGGUUGUAAACCUCUUUUCUCAGGGAAGAAGCUCUGACGGUACCUGAGGAAUCAGCCUCGGCUAACUCCGUGCCAGCAGCCGCGGUAAUACGGAGGAGGCAAGCGUUAUCCGGAAUUAUUGGGCGUAAAGCGUCCGCAGGUGGCGAUUCAAGUCUGCUGUCAAAGCACGGGGCUUAACUCCGUAAAGGCAGUGGAAACUGAAUAGCUAGAGUGCCGUAGGGGUAGAGGGAAUUCCCGGUGUAGCGGUGAAAUGCGUAGAGAUCGGGAAGAACAUCGGUGGCGAAAGCGCUCUACUGGACGGCAACUGACACUCAGGGACGAAAGCUAGGGGAGCGAAUGGGAUUAGAUACCCCAGUAGUCCUAGCUGUAAACGAUGGAUACUAGGUGUAGCUUGUAUCGACCCGAGCUGUGCCGAAGCUAACGCGUU
RNAcentral lists this ribosomal RNA (811 nucleotides) under uncultured bacterium. RNAcentral's name for it is "bacterial SSU rRNA". It matches the Rfam family "Bacterial small subunit ribosomal RNA", at positions 1 to 861 of the family's 1533-position model. The record is from RNAcentral.